GACGUAGGGGGCCAGCGUUGUUCGGAAUUACUGGGUGUAAAGGGUUCGUAGGCGGUGCGGCAAGUUGGGAGUGAAAUCUCUGGGCUUAACCCAGAGGCUGCUUCCAAAACUGCUGUGCUUGAGUGUGAGAGAGGCUCGUGGAAUUGCAGGUGUAGCGGUGAAAUGCGUAGAUAUCUGCAGGAACACCCGUGGCGAAAGCGGCGAGCUGGAUCACAACUGACGCUGAGGAACGAAAGCUAGGGGAG
RNAcentral lists this ribosomal RNA (245 nucleotides) under uncultured bacterium. RNAcentral's name for it is "partial 16S ribosomal RNA". It matches the Rfam family "Bacterial small subunit ribosomal RNA", at positions 524 to 768 of the family's 1533-position model. The record is from RNAcentral.